Molecule: long non-coding RNA, 231 nt
Filed under: Elaeis guineensis (African oil palm)
Lineage: Eukaryota; Viridiplantae; Streptophyta; Magnoliopsida; Arecales; Arecaceae
Description: long non-coding RNA (EGUI_LNC051626)
Source: RNAcentral
CUUUUAAUUCCUCAUGUCAUGGGAUGGCCCUUGAGAUUGUGGGCAUAGAUAAGAAGGAGUCCUUCUCUUGGAAAGAAAGUGAAUGCCUUAAAUAAAUGAGAUGCCACAUUUAUUUUUGGCGUUAAAGAAGAGUAGCCCUUCUCUUUUACUUCUCUUAAAUUCCUUACCAUUUAUUCCACGUGUUUCUUAUUUCAUCAUGUCAUAUGAUGGCUAUUUGAAUUAUGGGCGUAG